GUGAGCCAAGAGAAGUGAAGACAGUCAUCUUUUUUUAAAACUUUUUUACAGUCUGUGCAGGAUUUACUUUAUGACAAAUUUUUUAUGACUGACUCAUACCUGCAGAACGUCCGCCCGUCUGGUCCAAUAAGCUAAUGGGGGGGGGGGGGCUACGGGGGUGCGUUCACGACCGACAGGGUUAUGAGAGAUGUGCGUUGUGCUCAGUGGUGACGCGGGGUCGUCAAUGCAGACGGGAAGGGGGAGCCAGCGGAGUCUUCCGUGGAGCCUCCGCCGGCUGCUGAGUUUCGCUCCAUGGAAGAUUUUACACUCACAGUCUUGUGACGAUACCCUACGCUCAGACUACGACCAAGAGAUAAGAAUUGAUGGUCACCUGGUGGGCCCUGACCCAGGGCAGUCAUUUCCACACUUUUCUUUAUUAGGGACAGACUGUAUAGAGUGAGCAGGUGAACGUGCGCCGCCGGUGCGCGUCCGGCCCGGAGUGUCAGUUAGUGAAAGCUCUGGCCAUUCCGAGGGCGCCGUUGCGUCCUCUGCCGUUGAUGGAGGUUCCGUUGGAGCGAAUCGGCAAGGACCUCAUCGGGCCGUUUCACCGGAGCGCACGCGGAUAUCGCUUUGUGUUAGUUGUCGUGCAUUACGCAACGCGGUAUCCGGAGGCAGUGCCGUUGCGCAAUAUCUCUGCAAAGAGCAGAGAUAUCUGUUUCAGGUCAUCUCCCGAGUUGGAAUCCCUAAGGAGAUUCUGACUGACCAGGGCACCUUGUUCAUGUCGCGCGCACUGAGAGAACUUUACGGGUUACUGGGCACUAAGUCCAUUCGUACGAGCGUGUAUCACCUGCAGACGGACGGGCUGGUGGAACGCAUGAAUAAGACUCUAAAGGCCAUUAUCCGUAAAUGUAUUAGCUACGAUGAACGUAAUUGGGAUUGGGACCACUGGCUUGACCCUCUGUUGUUUGCAGUGCGGGAGGUCCCCCAGGCCUCCACGGAAUUUUCUCCCUUUAAACUUUUGUUUGGCAGGACGCCGUGAGGGGUGCUGGACCUGAUUAAAGAAAGCUGGGAGGAAGGUCCAAGCCCCUGCAAAAAUGAGAUCCAGUACGUCCUGGACCUCCGAGCAAAACUCCACACACUGGGCUGUAUGUCACGAGACAACAACGACUGUACGACAGAGGGGCCAGGCUGCGACGAUUAAAACUGGGAGAAAAGGUACUUGUAUUACCUCCUUCUUCCAACUCUAAACUCCUAGCCAAGUGGCAAGGGCCCUUUGAGGUCACACGGCAGGUGGGGGACGUCGACUACGAGGUGGUGCGGUCCGACAGGGGUGGGGGUACACAGAGAUACCACCUGAACCUCCUGAAAGCCUGGAGGGGGGUGGAGUCAGUCUCUACGGUAUCGGAAAGGGAGGAGCUGGUGCCGGAGGUUCCAAAAGCAGGUAAUCAUACCUCGCUCCCUCGAGGGGCUCAUCUCUCAGAGAGCCAGAGGGCGGACGUCGCCAGGUUGCAAGAGGGGUUUGCUAAUGUGUUCUCUCCCUUGCCAGGCCGGACCGACCUCAUAGUGCACAGUAUCGAGACGCCCCGGGCUUGACGGUGAGGUCACGACCCUACAGGUUGCCCGAACACAAGAAAGAAGUAGUUCAGAGGGAAUUGGCGAGUAUGUUAGAGUUGGGGGUAAUAGAAGAGUCCAACAGUGCCUGGUGCAGCCCCAUCGUCCUUGUGGCUAAGAAGGAUGGAUCUGUACGGUUCGGGGUGGACUAUCGCAGGGUGAAUGACGUGUCAUGGUUCGAUGCCUGCCCAAUGCCCCGGGUCGACGAGCUCCUGGACCGGCUAGGCACUGCAUGUUUCUUCCCGACACUGGAUUUAACCAAGGGCCUACUGGCAGAUUUCUCGCCAGAGAGAAAACGGCAUUCUCCACCCCGUACGGUUUGUACCAAUUAACCACACUUCCCUUCGGGUUGUUUGGGGCCCCGGCCAAAUUUCAGUGCCUCAUGGAUCGAGUGCUGCGUCCGCACACUGCAUAUGCCGCUGCCUACCUGAAUUAUGUCAUUGUCCACAGCACCACCUGGGAGGAGCAUGCGCCGCAGGUGGGCGCAGUGCUGGAGGCGCUGGAACAGGCUGGGGGCCGUUUUGUCCCAGGAGGUGGGGGGGGUGGACCGCUCCGCGGUGUUAAUCAAGAAGCUGUCCGAGAGGGAGGCCAGGUACAGCACGGUGGAAAAGGAGUGCCUGGCCAUCCGGUGGGCGGUCGGCUCCCUGCGCUACUACCUCCUGUGACGCACUUUCACCCUCUGUUCGGACCACGCCCCGCUCCAAUGGCUCCACCGCAUGACCGAUGCCAACGCCCUGAUCACUCGGUGGUAUCUGGCUCUAUAGCCUUUUAAUUUCAAGGUGGUCCAUAGGCCGGGGACGCGGAUGGCUGUGGCUGAUUUCCUCUCCCGCUCCUGAAAGGGGGGCGGGGGGGAUAGGCUAGGCCGGACGGCUCCCCCGGCCUAAGUCGGGCGGUGGGGGUAUGUGGUGGCGGCAUGGUUUAACUCGGCUGCAGAGGGGACGGAGAAGGGAGUGGCUCAGGGAACAGUGCCAGGUGGAGCCAAUUGGCCUCAGGUCAGCUGAUUCCACACUGACUGUUUGUAUUGUGGUUUUAAAAUGCAGUAGAGGAGAGCGGGAGGAGGCGAGCGACGAUGAGAGAGCGAGACGCCGGGAGAACUCGCGGAUUCUGCAAAGAGAAAAGCAUCAAUAAAAGCUUAUUGAAACUAUACCCGCUGUGACGUGCCGACUGUACGCCCCCCAAGAACCCACACCGUGACACCCACAUAGCUACGCUGCAUUAUGUAAAUCUCAGUAAACACCUUUAUGCCACAUUCAUAUAUUGGUUGAGGGAUUUAAUGGGGAUAUUAAUCUGUCGGCAAAGUCUUAUCCAUACACCCAUAAUCCUGCUGCUUGAAGCCUGUUUAAUCACCUGUUGUUGAAUGGCCACUGAGGUUCCUCCUAGGAUGAUGAAAUCCCUUAGAUUCCAAUACAUUUUUGUACGUAAGAGGUAAUAAUAAUAAGGAAAUAAUAAAACAACAAUGAAAUUAUAACACUGUAUGAGCCCUUGCAUACUCCCACCACAGAUUGAAUACCUACUGUCUUUCAGAGUAUCAACUUGUUUAGCAAAAUCUUCAAUUUUUUUGAAGUUUUGUUUGUUUUUUUACUUAUUAUAUAACAAUAUUAUAUACAUAAUCUUUACUCAGCCUUCUUUUGCUCUACUAUAUCAAGAAAUUUCUCAGUUUUUGUAUUCUUUGUUUACCGAGGAGUUACAAAUUACUCCAGAUAACACAGGAUGAGUACUGAGUAAUAGUUAAAGUGUCCUUUAAUUUCCUAUGGAAGGGUUUUUAAUAUUUUGGGGAGUUUUUCGUGUGCCAAUGUGAGGGUUUAGGCAUUAGUAUCUUUUAAAUGUUCAAGUCCUCAAUUUAAUUCCUUGUUCUUUCGAAGAUACUUUUUAAUUAAAUAAUGAUACCUAUUUUGUCUUUUGUUACAUUUUAUUAAGAAGAAUCGCUACUUUUUUACCUAUUGUGUGCCUGCUCUCGCUUUGAACAAUUAAUAAUUUCCAAAUGACGUUCAGUCUCAAGUGGCCUUCAUUUUAAUUGGAUAACCUGAGCUGGUGGUGCCACAAGGAAUUGGCAAGAAGCAGAGUAAUUAUUCAAGGAACGGAAUAAAUCAGUCACAAAUACAUUGGCUAAA
This is a long non-coding RNA of Gasterosteus aculeatus aculeatus (three-spined stickleback), 3701 nucleotides long. Lineage: Eukaryota; Metazoa; Chordata; Actinopteri; Perciformes; Gasterosteidae. The record is from Ensembl.